GUGAGGAAUUUUCCGCAAUGGGCGAAAGCCUGACGGAGCAAUGCCGCGUGAAGGAUGAAGGCCUAUGGGUUGUAAACUUCUUUUCUUAGAGAAGAAUAUUGACGGUAUCUGAGGAAUAAGCAUCGGCUAACUCUGUGCCAGCAGCCGCGGUAAGACGAGGGAUCCUAGCGUUGUUCGGAAUUAUUGGGCGUAAAGCGGGUGCAGGUGGCUUGGUAAGUCAGAUGUGAAAGCCUGGGGCUUAACCCCAGAAGUGCAUUUGAUACUGCUGAGCUUGAGUGCUGGAGAGGCUAUUAGAAUUCCUGGUGUAGUGGUGAAAUACGUAGAUAUCAGGAGGAAUACCGGAGGCGAAGGCGGAUAGCUGGCCAGACACUGACACUCAGACACGAAAGCGUGGGGAUCAAACAGGAUUAGAUCCCCGGGUAGUCC
RNAcentral lists this ribosomal RNA (426 nucleotides) under uncultured bacterium. RNAcentral's name for it is "partial 16S ribosomal RNA". It matches the Rfam family "Bacterial small subunit ribosomal RNA", at positions 354 to 796 of the family's 1533-position model. The record is from RNAcentral.